AAGGGGCCGUGCAGCGGGUGAACCGCCCGACCGAAAACCACACAAACCCGUGCACUUUCCGACGGUGGAGGGAGACUGGGCGAAAGCUCGGGAUCCCGAACCCGUCUCCACAAACCCCCUUUGUUUUAAAGAAUGAUAUAGCGACCGCUGCGUCGCCUAACUUAAUGUAACAACUUUCAACAACGGAUCUCUUGGCUCUCGCAUCGAUGAAGAACGCAGCGAAAUGCGAUAAGUAAUGUGAAUUGCAGAAUUCAGUGAAUCAUCGAAUCUUUGAACGCAACUUGCGCUCCUUGGUAUUCCGAGGAGCAUGCCUGUUUGAGUGUCUUGAAGUCAUCAACCCCGACCGUUUUGCGACGGUUGCGGUUGGAGUUGGGGGACUUGCCGGCCGUUGCGGUCGGCUCCCCUCAAAUGCGUCGGUUGGGCCUGUGGGUCAAACUCGCUUGGGCGUUGUACCAUCCUCGCUCCUCGUGUGGGACCUGCUGAACUUGUGCCCCUCCUCGACCGUGCCCGGGUUUCGGGCGGUCAAUUCACAUUUGAAAUCUGACCUCAAAUCAGGUAGGACUACCCGCUGAACUUAAGCAUAUCAAUAAGCGGAGGAAAAGAAACUAACAAGGAUUCCCCUAGUAACUGCGAGUGAAGCGGGAAAAGCUCAAAUUUCAAAUCUGGCGCUCCCGGCGUCCGAGUUGUAUUCUGGAGAAGCGUCUUCCGCGC
RNAcentral lists this ribosomal RNA (711 nucleotides) under uncultured fungus. RNAcentral describes it as "eukaryotic LSU rRNA". The stretch from base 172 to 325 matches the Rfam family "5.8S ribosomal RNA". Lineage: Eukaryota; Fungi. The record is from RNAcentral.